This 400-nucleotide ribosomal RNA is filed under the name Bacillus sp. IDA1796. RNAcentral's name for it is "bacterial SSU rRNA". It matches the Rfam family "Bacterial small subunit ribosomal RNA", at positions 89 to 475 of the family's 1533-position model. Lineage: Bacteria; Bacillati; Bacillota; Bacilli; Caryophanales; Bacillaceae. The record is from RNAcentral.
UGGUUAGCGGCGGACGGGUGAGUAACACGUGGGCAACCUGCCUGUAAGACUGGGAUAACACCGGGAAACCGGUGCUAAUACCGGAUAAUCCUUUUCCUCUCAUGAGGAAAAGCUGAAAGUCGGUUUCGGCUGACACUUACAGAUGGGCCCGCGGCGCAUUAGCUAGUUGGUGAGGUAACGGCUCACCAAGGCGACGAUGCGUAGCCGACCUGAGAGGGUGAUCGGCCACACUGGGACUGAGACACGGCCCAGACUCCUACGGGAGGCAGCAGUAGGGAAUCUUCCACAAUGGACGAAAGUCUGAUGGAGCAACGCCGCGUGAGCGAUGAAGGCCUUCGGGUCGUAAAGCUCUGUUGUUAGGGAAGAACAAGUACCGGAGUAACUGCCGGUACCUUGACGG